RNAcentral lists this ribosomal RNA (253 nucleotides) under uncultured bacterium. RNAcentral's name for it is "partial 16S ribosomal RNA". It matches the Rfam family "Bacterial small subunit ribosomal RNA", at positions 524 to 776 of the family's 1533-position model. The record is from RNAcentral.
UACGGAGGGUGCGAGCGUUGUCCGGAUUUAUUGGGUUUAAAGGGUGCGUAGGCGGUUCUAUAAGUCAGUGGUGAAAUCCGGCAGCUCAACUGUCGAUGUGCCAUUGAUACUGCAGAACUUGAGUACAGACGAGGUAGGCGGAAUUGACGGUGUAGCGGUGAAAUGCUUAGAUAUCGUCAAGAACACCGAUAGCGAAGGCAGCUUACUAGACUGUAACUGACGCUGAUGCACGAAAGUGUGGGGAUCAAACAGG